UCAUAUUGGUACUACUGAUAGAUACAUCAAUGUGAAAGCACCCUUGUGGAGAUGUUUUUAUAAGCUGAACACCAACAAGGAUUAGGAGAAGUAAAUUCAGACUCUUUGAAGUAACCUCCUACGGUUUAAGUUGGAAUAUGGUCAAUGCAUCUACCUCACAGGACAGACAAUAGCCAGAGAAAGCCAGAGAGAAGCCCUUCUCCUACUUGACUCUGUCUCAGAAUGGUCCUAGAAUUCUCACAUCUAUUCAUGAAGAAAUAUUCUUAGCAAAUGAAGAAUAAAAGAAAUGUCCUAAUGUAACAGAGUAUCUACCAAAAAACAAAAUAUCAAAUGUCAAGCUAAAAGCCAGACAGACCAACUCUAGCAUGAUGUGAAGAGUUCUACACCAGAAGAUGAAGGCCAAGGGAUGAUGUUGAAGGCUAGCUACUGAUGCAACAAAGGAAUUCCUUUCAUAUUUCACCUUAAAGGUGCAGAGUCGGAGACUUGCAGAUGUUUGAGUAACUCAUGAAACAUCACCUGGCACCUGACAAAAUUCCCACCUGAACAACCCUCUUUCUUUCUAUCUUACCUAUUUGCAUUGAGUUCACAAUAAAGAGAAGUCUUCUCCAUGGUCAGACAACUGACACUGAGAGCUGUGAGUUGGUUUGCUUAAGGACUCAUCCACAAUGAGUGAGACUUGUACUAUAUUGAGUCUAAGGACUGACCCAAAGUCACACAACAAUGGGACAAGAACUAACAUCUUUCAACAACAUUAUCUAAAAUAGCACCCGAUGAACACUACUGGAAGAGUUGUCAACAGAAUAGUUGGUACAUAAACUGUGAUUUAGUCCUCAAGGAGAAACCCAUCAUUGAGAAUGACCAAUUGCAACUGCUACAACAAGAAAGGCAAGUCUCCCAAACAUAGUAUUGAUCGAAAGAAUUGAGAUGGAAAAAAUAGCCUACUCAAUGCUUCAUAAAUUCCAAGUCCCAAAUGAGUUCAAAGUUAUCUUUGAUGGUAGAAGUCAGAAGAGAUUCCCCUUUGUGUGGAUGAGGGUAGUUACUACAAGCAAGCAAGCACAGAAGAGCUUCCAACGGCUGGCAAUGUCCUGUUUCCUGACCUGAGUUCUCACCAUUCCCGAGGUUUGGAAAAACACUGGAGGGCACCUUUAUAUUUGUGCACUUUGUGUAUGUUAUGUUCUACCUCAAUAAAAAUGUAAGAAAAUAAUACAAAGCUCUGCAAGUUAGUAUAAUUUAAUACCAAUGAGUUGAAUGUUUGUGUUUUCACUAAGUCAUGUGUUAGAACCACAAUGUCUGAAUACAG
This is a non-coding RNA of Oryctolagus cuniculus (rabbit), 1300 nucleotides long. Lineage: Eukaryota; Metazoa; Chordata; Mammalia; Lagomorpha; Leporidae. The record is from RefSeq and is a predicted model, not a curated record.